GAGUGUCAGAUGCAGUAGCUAAUUCUGGACAGAUGAGGACUGAGAACCAAGAACAGAAAUUAAGAAAUCACUGGAAAAUCUGGACAAAGGAGUUUCUAUUGGUUAAUGAGACUGGAGGAUAUGGGCAAACAUUCUUGGGUAUGUUCGAAGGCAAAAGAGAAGAAACCAGUAAAAAGGGAGAGGUUUAAAAUUUUAGAGAGAAGGCUGGAAAGAGGAAAAACAUGGUAUGAUCAGGAUUGCAAUCUACUGGAAAAAGCAGUAGACAGAAUCAAUCAUACAUAUAGAGGGAAUGGCUUUGGCAAACGGGAGAUCAAGUUGUCACAGACAUAUCUAUGAUAAUUCAACAUCUCCACUAUAUGAUAGACAAGAAAAGUAUGCAAGAAAGGGAAUUGAAACCUAAUUACUUAUCAGAAGCCCUUAUAAAAGUACUCAUGCAGGAGGAUUUGAAGAAGGUAUGGUGAUAAAUUAUCCAGAUUCAUUUCCCCCUUGCCUAGAUUACAGGGGUCCUCAAAAUUUUUAAAUAGGGGGCCAGUUCACUGUCCCUCAGACUGUUGGAGGGCCGGA
Molecule: long non-coding RNA, 564 nt
Organism: Sarcophilus harrisii (Tasmanian devil)
Lineage: Eukaryota; Metazoa; Chordata; Mammalia; Dasyuromorphia; Dasyuridae
Exons: 3
Source: RefSeq, a predicted model, not a curated record